AAUGCGGGUGCUUACCAUGCAGUCGAACGAUGAAGCCCAGCUUGCUGGGUGGAUUAGUGGCGAACGGGUGAGUAACACGUGAGUAACCUGCCCCCGACUCUGGGAUAAGCCCGGGAAACUGGGUCUAAUACCGGAUAUGACCUCGCACCGCAGGGUGCGGGGUGGAAAGAUUUAUCGGUGGGGGAUGGACUCGCGGCCUAUCAGCUUGUUGGUGAGGUAAUGGCUCACCAAGGCGACGACGGGUAGCCGGCCUGAGAGGGUGACCGGCCACACUGGGACUGAGACACGGCCCAGACUCCUACGGGAGGCAGCAGUGGGGAAUAUUGCACAAUGGGCGAAAGCCUGAUGCAGCGACGCCGCGUGAGGGAUGACGGCCUUCGGGUUGUAAACCUCUUUCAGUAGGGAAGAAGCGAAAGUGACGGUACCUGCAGAAGAAGCGCCGGCUAACUACGUGCCAGCAGCCGCGGUAAUACGUAGGGCGCAAGCGUUAUCCGGAUUUAUUGGGCGUAAAGAGCUCGUAGGCGGUUUGUCGCGUCUGCCGUGAAAGUCCGAGGCUCAACCUCGGAUCUGCGGUGGGUACGGGCAGACUAGAGUGAUGUAGGGGAGACUGGAAUUCCUGGUGUAGCGGUGAAAUGCGCAGAUAUCAGGAGGAACACCGAUGGCGAAGGCAGGUCUCUGGGCAUUUACUGACGCUGAGGAGCGAAAGCAUGGGGAGCGAACAGGAUUAGAUACCCUGGUAGUCCAUGCCGUAAACGUUGGGCACUAGGUGUGGGGGACAUUCCACGUUUUCCGCGCCGUAGCUAACGCAUUAAGUGCCCCGCCUGGGGAGUACGGCCGCAAGGCUAAAACUCAAAGGAAUUGACGGGGGCCCGCACAAGCGGCGGAGCAUGCGGAUUAAUUCGAUGCAACGCGAAGAACCUUACCAAGGCUUGACUUGUGCCAGACCGCCUCCAAAAAUGGGGUUUCCCUUUCGGGCUGGUUCCAGGGGGGGCAUGGUUGCCUCCACUCCGGGCCGG
Molecule: ribosomal RNA, 1016 nt
Filed under: Glutamicibacter nicotianae
Lineage: Bacteria; Bacillati; Actinomycetota; Actinomycetes; Micrococcales; Micrococcaceae
Description: bacterial SSU rRNA
Rfam family: Bacterial small subunit ribosomal RNA
Source: RNAcentral